RNAcentral lists this ribosomal RNA (481 nucleotides) under uncultured bacterium. Its description in RNAcentral is "partial 16S ribosomal RNA". It matches the Rfam family "Bacterial small subunit ribosomal RNA", at positions 28 to 507 of the family's 1533-position model. The record is from RNAcentral.
GAUGAACGCUGGCGGCGUGCUUAACACAUGCAAGUCGAACGAAGCACUUUAUUUGAUUUCCUUCGGGACUGAUUAUUUUGUGACUGAGUGGCGGACGGGUGAGUAACGCGUGGGUAACCUGCCUUGUACAGGGGGAUAACAGUUGGAAACGGCUGCUAAUACCGCAUAAGCGCACGGCAUCGCAUGAUGCAGUGUGAAAAACUCCGGUGGUAUAAGAUGGACCCGCGUUGGAUUAGCUAGUUGGUGAGGUAACGGCCCACCAAGGCGACGAUCCAUAGCCGACCUGAGAGGGUGACCGGCCACAUUGGGACUGAGACAUGGCCCAAACUCCUACGGGAGGCAGCAGUGGGGAAUAUUGCACAAUGGGCGAAAGCCUGAUGCAGCGACGCCGCGUGAGCGAAGAAGUAUUUCGGUAUGUAAAGCUCUAUCAGCAGGGAAGAUAAUGACGGUACCUGACUAAGAAGCACCGGCUAAAUACGUG